AGGAUGUGAUGUAAUGGCAGGAAGAAGGUUUGUCUUGCUCUUUGCUGGUUCCUGCUUGCUAUUUGCAGCCGCCAUGAACUUCGGCCCAGCCAUGCCUGCCUGUCUUGGAGCCAACUGAGUGUGGACAGAAACCUCCAAAAACUCCAGGGACAUAGUGGAGACUGGAAGCAGGGACCAGACUGUGGAGUACACACAGAGAGCCAAGUAUCAGACCUGGGGAGGUGUGGGAUCCUCAGGUGGCUAUCAUGCAGUGCCUGUCCUUCAGCGGAUCCUGUUUUCCCAACUGUGCUCCCCACCACCUGCUGCACUGCUCUCCGCAGAGGACCUGUGAGUGCUCAGGCUUCCCCUGUGGAAGUCUUUACAAAUCCUCACAUAUUGAAGAGAGGAGGCUGGAGAGGCUGAAGGGGAAGGUUCUAGAAUGCUGAUUUCGUCUGAGAAGAAGAGGAAAGACACAUGGAGAAGGCAGUGCCCUGCUGCAAGCUGCCCCGUGCCGUGUGGAACAGCGGCUCCCAGGCUGUGCCUGCCCCCGAGAGACCUCAUCUUAAAGAGCAGCAGAUUCUCCAUUCUGAGCACAAAGCUGAGGCAGAGGGCCUUGUCUUGUCUGUGCACAUGGCACCACCAGAUGCUGGGCACGGCAAGGGCUGAAAAACAACUCAGCCCCACAGUGCAAUCCACAGGCAUGAACUGCUAAGUGAAUCUUGCUAAGAAAAACACACCACCUGUGGUUUACCAGGUUAGAUAGGUACGGGAUGCAUCUAAGCUUCAGCAAGGAAACCCAGGCCUGUGAGCUUAGUGGAGGCUCUGGGCCAACACAUGGUGCAGCCUUGUGUCUGGGUCACACGAGGUGGGAUGCCAGGGCCGGUGUGUGGGAUGUCACCAGCCUGCUGUCUCUUGGGACCACCUGGGGAUGGGGAUGCAUCAUGAGGUCCCCAGGCCACCAACUCCAGCUCCGUCCCCUGGUAUUUAUUUAUUUAUUUAUUUAUUGUUACCCAGACUGUCCUCAAACUCACACAGGUCCUCCUGCCUAGGGCUCUCAAGCACUGGGAUCACAGGCCUGUGUCACCACACUGACCCCUGACUUUACCUCAGCUCAGUCUCCCUGCUUGACUCUGUCCACUUGAACCAGCUGCAGACCUGAGGGCAAUGUGGAGGCCUGGAGCUCGCAGUCCAGGGGAGGUCAGUGCCUGUCUCCUAGAAGCAGAAACCCAGUCGUGCGUGUUAUAGAGCAAAGUGUGGAAAGAAGACAGAUCACGAACGGACUAUGCGUUUGAGGAAACACAUCUUUCAUUUUCAUUCUUGUACUAGGUUUUGAGAAAAGUCAGGAUGGGUUGGUCCUUUUGUUUAUACCAUUAUUUCUUUCUUGAAGGAUCAUUCUGUUUUAUGUAUGUGGUCAAAAUUUAAAGACAGGUUUUCAUUUGUAAUCCUUGAGGACGUCCUGAGCUAUUUUCCUGGCCUGGUAUUAAAUCCAUCGCAGAUGGGACUUCAAAGAGUCAUUUGCUCAAAAUUUUGGAAAUAACACAGCGUGAAUUACUAUGCCAAAAAAUUCUGUUGAGCUCUGAUUCUCUUUGAAUAUUUUAUAAAUGGUUAGCACGGCUUCCUUUCCCUGCUGUGCCUCUGGACCGGUUCCCUUUAGGAAAGAAGGAAGGGGAACAGGAGCACAAAUCCUUCUGCAGCAAGGAGCAGAGUGCCCCAUACACAUGGCCUCUGUGAACAUUAGAAAAAGCCCCGGAGACUGCAGAGCCCAGGCCAGUUCUGUGAGUCACUGUAGACCCUGCGUAAAGCCCUCAAGGCCCUCCCUGGUUUCUUUGUUCUAGGGUCAUGAACUGUACAUAUUUUCCCUGGUGACUUACUCCUUUGUGUUUCCUUGAGAGCCACAAGAGUGCCUAAAUUAGCCCGGGUCCAUCCUAUCUUCCUCCUCCUCUUUCAUAAAAUAGAUACAGCCAAUUAGUUUCCAUUUUAUUAAUAAUGCUUGACACAUGUACCAUUUUCUGACCAAUUACCUUUCAUAACUUAAUUUUCAUCAGAGAUAUUUUGUUUUUUGGUUUUUCUUGAGACAGGGUCUUGCUAUGUAGUUCAGGCUGGACUUGAACUCACUAGGUACCCCAAGGAGGUCUUGAUCUCAUGGGGUCCUCCUGCCUCAGCCUCCCAAGUGCUGGGAUUACAGGCAUGCACCACCACAUCUGGCUGAAAUAUAAAGUUUUAGACUGAAAAUGUUGUAACAAAAAGCAAUGUCUUUGUAGCAUUCCUCCACCAUGAUCCUUAUCCCCAGAAGAAACAUUUAUUUGCUCCAAGUUUCUAAAUAACCUGUUCAUUCCCA
Molecule: long non-coding RNA, 2317 nt
Organism: Cavia porcellus (domestic guinea pig)
Lineage: Eukaryota; Metazoa; Chordata; Mammalia; Rodentia; Caviidae
Exons: 4
Source: RefSeq, a predicted model, not a curated record